AGCAGCCGCGGUAAUUCCAGCUCCAAUAGCGUAUAUUAAAGUUGUUGCAGUUAAAAAGCUCGUAGUUGAACUUCGGGGUUUACCCAUUGGUCAGGCUUAAUUGUCUGUACUGGUGAGAUAAAUCUCUACCUUCUGAGGAACUUUCAUGCCAUUUAGUUGGUGUGAUAGGAAAUCAGGACUGUUACUUUGAAAAAAUUAGAGUGUUUAAAGCAGGCUAACGUCUGAAUACAUUAGCAUGGAAUAAUGAAAUAGGACGGAUUGGUUCUAUUUCGUUGGUUUCUAGGAUCACCGUAAUGAUUAAUAGGGAUAGUUGGGGGCAUUAGUAUUCAAUUGUCAGAGGUGAAAUUCUUGGAUUUAUUGAAGACUAACUAUUGCGAAAGCAUUUGCCAAGGAUGUUUUCAUUAAUCAAGAACGAAAGUUAGGGGAUCGAAGACGAUCAGAUACCGUCGUAGUCUUAACCAUAAACUGUAGCCGACUAGGGAUCGGACGUAAGUUA
Molecule: ribosomal RNA, 496 nt
Filed under: uncultured Diversispora
Lineage: Eukaryota; Fungi; Glomeromycota; Glomeromycetes; Diversisporales; Diversisporaceae
Description: SSU rRNA
Rfam family: Eukaryotic small subunit ribosomal RNA
Source: RNAcentral